RNAcentral lists this ribosomal RNA (572 nucleotides) under uncultured bacterium. RNAcentral's name for it is "bacterial SSU rRNA". It matches the Rfam family "Bacterial small subunit ribosomal RNA", at positions 240 to 822 of the family's 1533-position model. The record is from RNAcentral.
AUUAGCUAGUUGGUGGGGUAAGGGCCUACCAAGGCGAUGAUGCGUAGCCGGACUGAGAGGUUGAACGGCCACAAUGGAACUGAGACACGGUCCAUACUCCUACGGGAGGCAGCAGUAGGGAAUUUUCGGCAAUGGGGGGAACCCUGACCGAGCAACGCCGCGUGAACGAAGAAGUUAUUCGUAAUGUAAAGUUCUUUUAUCAGGGAAGAAAGAGGAAUUUGACGGUACCUGAGGAAUAAGCUCCGGCUAACUACGUGCCAGCAGCCGCGGUAAUACGUAGGGAGCGAGCGUUAUCCGGAAUUAUUGGGCGUAAAGGGUGCGUAGAUGGCAUAGUAAGUCUUUUGUAAAAAUGCUGGGCUCAACCCAGUAGGUGCAAAAGAUACUGCAAAGCUAGAGUAUGACAGAGGCAAGUGGAACUACAUGUGUAGCGGUAAAAUGCGUAAAUAUAUGUAAGAACACCAGUGGCGAAGGCGGCUUGCUGGGUCGAUACUGACAUUGAGGCACGAAAGCGUGGGGAGCAAACAGGAUUAGAUACCCUGGUAGUCCACGCCCUAAACGAUGAGUACUAAGUG